RNAcentral lists this unclassified non-coding RNA (328 nucleotides) under soil metagenome. RNAcentral describes it as "partial contains 5.8S ribosomal RNA, internal transcribed spacer 2, and large subunit ribosomal RNA". The stretch from base 1 to 120 matches the Rfam family "5.8S ribosomal RNA", at positions 35 to 154 of the family's 154-position model. The record is from RNAcentral.
GAUGAAGAACGCAGCGAAAUGCGAUAAGUAAUGUGAAUUGCAGAAUUCAGUGAAUCAUCGAAUCUUUGAACGCACAUUGCGCCCCUUGGUAUUCCGAGGGGCAUGCCUGUUCGAGCGUCAUUAUAACCCUCAAGCUCAGCUUGGUGUUGGGGCCUGCUGCACUGGCAGCCCUUAAAAUCAGUGGCGGCGCCAUCUGGCUCUAAGCAUAGUAAUUCUUCUCGCUAUGGAGUCCUGGUGGAUGCUUGCCAUCAACCCCCAAUUUUUCUAUGGUUGACCUCGGAUCAGGUAGGGAUACCCGCUGAACUUAAGCAUAUCAAUAAGCGGAGGA